This 537-nucleotide long non-coding RNA is filed under the name Betta splendens (Siamese fighting fish). RNAcentral describes it as "lncRNA (ENSBSLG00000022528.1)". The record is from RNAcentral. Lineage: Eukaryota; Metazoa; Chordata; Actinopteri; Anabantiformes; Osphronemidae.
ACGACUUGAAUGAGCCCCAUUUGGAGCUCAGAAGUCGUCAAAAACCUGGAGCACAGCUGAUCCCCCCUCCUCCAAGACCAUCGAUCUCAACAGAACUGCUGAAGCCCAGGCUGAAGUGCAACAAGUGUUCUCAUAUCCUAUGUCCCUGUUGCCAAGGUAGUAUGCACCUGUGUGUGUGUGUGUGUGUGUGUGUGUGUGUGUGUGUGUGUGUGUGUGUGUGUGUGCCUGCACUGUAACCUACACAUUCUGACUAUUUAUUACUUUCUAACUUUUUCUUUCCUUUCCUAACUUUUGUUUGGCGAUAAAUCAUAACCGUAUAAGAUGUUCUGAAUUUGACCAAACCAAUGCCUUCAUACGGCCACUAGGUGAUAGCAAAACCUCACAACUACUGUAGGUCACUAUCAACAGUUGUCCAGCUUUAGGCAAUAGGCCAUACUAAUAACAUCACCUUAAAUAUCUUACUAAAAUAUCACCAAAACCAUCCAGUAUUAUAGUAUUUACAAUAAAUGAAUAAUGAUUCGUAUAAGUAUAUUAGUA